CAGUGUUUGCCUUGUCACUGCUGUGGAAUGUUUCCUGAGGGCUGNAGGGCUGGCAUUGUUGGUCAGUCUUCUUUGAGGCAGCAUGGCUUUUCCAGAGGAGGGUGGGCAGGGCUGACAGGGUCUCUCUGAAGCAAGGAGGACUUCCUGAGGACAGAUAGGACUGGAAGCUCCGCACCACUAUGGAAGCAGAUUUCACUCAGCUGGGCAGAGCUUGCUCGGUGUUUUUGGGCUGUGGGGCUCUUGCAGGGGGCUGGCGGUGCUGGGCAGCUGUUCUGCAGAAGUGCAGAAGCCCCUGAGGGCUGGAGCGGCUAGCUGGGCCACUGAGAACCCAAGAGGCUCUUCCCCAGGGCAGCCCAACUCGGAAGGACUGCCUGAGAAUGUAGGCAGAUUUUUCACGGCCCAGCCACACUUGUUAUAGCUUUUCUGGGCUGCAGGGGCUCUUGCAGGGGGCUGGCGGUGCUGGGCAGCUGUUCUGCAGAAGUGCAGAAGCCCCUGAGGGCUGGAGCAGCUAGCUGGGCCGCUGAGAACCCAAGAGGCUCUUCCCCAGGGCAGCCCAACUCGGAAGGACUGCCUGAGAAUGUAGGCAGAUUUUUCACAGCCCAGCCAAGCUUGUUCUAGCUUUCCUAGGCUGCAGGCCUUUUCCCGGGGGCUGGCAGUGUUUUUGGUGCUGCUCUGUGGAGGUGUAUCCCCUCCAGAGAGCAAGCAGGCCAGGGCAGGGAAAGCCCCUUCGGUGGUAGGCUUCCAGCAAUUGCUGAGGCCAGCGCUCCAGGAUGGCAGGCAGCCCCAGGUCCACGUGUGCAUGAAGGGUAGGGGGAGGGUAGAUGUACUGGGAAGCACAGCUUUCUGAUAGCUAGUGGGCCAGUGAGCUUGCUGUGGCGUGGGGAGUAUUCUAUGGGGGCCCACCCCUUCUUCUCUCCCCUCCCCAACACUGGCACCUUGUCUCUUCUGCAAGUCCAGCUCUUCUCCCAGGUUCCCCUAACAUAUUAUUCUAUAUCAACUAUAUUUCAAUUAAAAAAAGAAAAAGUAGUGACAAUGGACACUCUGGCUUUGUUCUUGACAUUAUGGGAAUUUUCUCAUUGUGUUUUCAUUAAACAUGAUACUGGCUUACAGAUGUUAACUGUUAGUUUAAAAUGUGCCCAUACAGUUACUAGUUUAUUGAGGAUUUUAUUUCCAGUACUUGAUUGGUAUGAUUAAAUGAUUUCCCUUAUUUCUUCUCCCAUAGGUGAAUUAAAUUAACAGAGCUGGUAAUAUUAACUUAUUUUUCCAUUUCUGGAAUAAGCCAAAAUUAUUAUCUCCACCAUGCUCAGCCAUUGUCUGGGGGUGGCCCAGGGGAAGGAAGUAUGCUUUUGGUAUAAACACCACGGUGGCUUUAAAAGGUUUGGCAACUGAAGUCUAUCAUCAACUAUGCUCCUGACAGCAGAUUCUCUCGAAGGAG
RNAcentral lists this long non-coding RNA (1435 nucleotides) under Sus scrofa (pig). RNAcentral's name for it is "lncRNA (ENSSSCG00030006603.1)". The record is from RNAcentral. Lineage: Eukaryota; Metazoa; Chordata; Mammalia; Artiodactyla; Suidae.